This 225-nucleotide long non-coding RNA is filed under the name Setaria viridis. RNAcentral describes it as "long non-coding RNA (SVIR_LNC009048)". The record is from RNAcentral. Lineage: Eukaryota; Viridiplantae; Streptophyta; Magnoliopsida; Poales; Poaceae.
AUUGAGAAGUGCAUGUACUAUAUCCAAUAAAAAAAAGCUGAUAUUACAGUUAACAGGAAAUAGAGCAUUAUACUUGUAUUCUUCGGAAACAUUGUUUUUUCAAAAAUGCAACACACACCACCCCAGUCAGAGUUUGUAAAUGCCGCAUUUACUCAUUUUUCUCUGAUAAACUAGAACAAUAAUUCUCCUAAUUAUUACGCCAGCAAUGCAAUUACAUUGUUACCA